CUUAUAUUGGAAUUGAUUUAGACAUGGAUUCAUUUCUAAUUAGCGUAAGCAUCAGGAAGGGAAAGUCAGGGAAUCUGACUCAUCUAAAAGGUCAGAGAUGAUGUUCCCAAGAAAGUGACAUCAAAUAAAAUAGGGUUUGGUUUUGCCCUCCCAGGCUGAGAGAGAUCUCCCCUAGGCAGGGCAGGAGUUCCCCUAGGUAACUAAAUUCUGGCCGGCGCUCCCAUGUUGAGGUCUGUCUCACAGUUCCAUCUACUGUGGACAUGCCUCAUGCAAGAGGUGCCCCUGGCCCAGAGCUGGCAGUGGAGAGGGAUUUGGAACCAGAUUUCAGUGAGUCGCCACUGUCCAUUUGUGCAUCAGCACAUUGUGUCUGGAAAGUCCUGAUACGGAAACCAGCAAGGCCAUCCUUCCCUCAUGUGCCGACAGUAACUAAUGGACCCUCUCCUUUGUCCAGAUGGGGAACCUGGAGCUGAGAAGACAAAUCCAGCAGGAGCCAGACGGGCCUCUGCUUUACUGGUCAGGAGAAAGCAGCUGCUUGAUUGCCGGUCUGCCCCAUCACACUGCAGAGCUCUGGGUCACCAGCCUAAACCACUUAAUGCACAUCACACCCAGGUCUACUUGGAAAUGGCUAAGGCACUUAAAUGGAACGUCCAACCUUUGUCCUCAGUCCCCAGACCACAGGAACCCGGACUCCUGUCCUCACAGCUGGAACUUCCUCUGUGCACUAAUUGGAAAAACAUCCUCCGGGAAAUGGGGCAUCUUUAUUGAGUCAAUCUUUGGUGAUGACUGUGUCAACUGGCAAGAUGAAGUUUAUAGCACAGAAGUGAAGUCUCUGAAACCUUCCAGUGCACUGGUCCCAGGCCUGGAUCCAAGAAGCCACAUUGACUUGACCCAACCCCCAGAUAGAAAACACUAAGGGUCACCUUAGUGAAGGGCUAGCUUGAGAGACUGGAUUCAAUCCCUAAGUUCAAGAGCCAUCCCAGCUAGUGGUCCCCAAUUUUUUUCCCUUCCUUCCUCAUUAACAGUAUCCCUGAAUAUUAGCUGCAAUAUUAAGACUACAUUUCCCAGACUCCCUUGCAACUACAUAAAGUCACAUGAGGAAAUUAUGACUAAUUAGAAAGGAAGCAGAAGGAGUAUAUGGAAUUUCCAUGAAGGCUCCUUAAAAAGGGGAAUGCAUCCUUCUUUUCCCUUCCUUUCCUUGUUUUUCACUGGAGUAUAGCUAGAGACUUAGCAGCCAUUUUGAACAGUGAGGUCACUUUGGAAAUGGAGUCCAGGCCAAUGGGAGGCAAAGCACUGGACCUUCCCGGACUCUUGCAAAAGAGAAACUUUUAAAUCUUUUUUAAGGCAUUACUUUGGGAGAUUUUCUGUCAUUUGUAUUUGAAAGUAAUCUUAACUGAUAUAACAGCAUUUUAAAAAAUUUUUAUUUAAUUUUUUUCAGUGUUCGAGAAUUCAUUGUUUAUACACCACACCCAGUGCUCCAUACAAUAUGUGCCCUCAAUAGCACUUUUUUUGAUGGUGAAGAAGUAGAAGCAACCUCAGUGGCCCCUAAGAAGGGAUUGGUUAAAUUUGUUCACUCAUUUGCUUACUCAUUCACCACAUUUUAAAUGUGUGCCAACCACAUAUUUGCCUCUGUUCUAAGCAUUGAGAUAUAGUGGUAAAAAAAAAAACAAGAACUUUGUUGGAAGAUGAAGCAAGAGGCAUAAAUAAAUGGACAACCAAAAUAUAGUUUAGUUAGUGGAACCAUAGAGGCUGAGUAGUUUAAAAAAAUAUUUUAGUGAGAUAAGGAAAAUGUUCAUGGCGUAUUGCUGAAAACAGUAGGUUAUCAAGAUUAUACAAGAUAAGUCUGAUGUGUAAAACAGCAUAUAUAUUUGCAUAGAGAAAGAACAAAAUGGAUACAUAAUUAGUCUGAACAACUUGAACAGCAUUUAGCAAGCACAAAAGAAAUAGUUAAUGAAUGAAUUUAUUUCAAGGUGGAGGGACUGUUUUUUCCUUUGUAUUUUUAUUUAUAUAUUUUUUAAAGAUUUAUUUAUUUGAGAGAGAGAGGGAACAUGAGUGGAGGGAGGGGCAGAGGGAGAGAGAGUCUCAAGCAGAGUCCCUGCUGAGUGCCGAGCCUGAUGUGGGACUGGAUCUCAUGAUCCUGAGGUUAUGACCUGAGCCGAAAUCAAGAGUCUGUC
RNAcentral lists this long non-coding RNA (2171 nucleotides) under Mustela putorius furo (domestic ferret). Its description in RNAcentral is "lncRNA (ENSMPUG00000029061.1)". The record is from RNAcentral. Lineage: Eukaryota; Metazoa; Chordata; Mammalia; Carnivora; Mustelidae.